Molecule: long non-coding RNA, 1679 nt
Organism: Sebastes umbrosus (honeycomb rockfish)
Lineage: Eukaryota; Metazoa; Chordata; Actinopteri; Perciformes; Sebastidae
Exons: 4
Source: RefSeq, a predicted model, not a curated record
UCCACGAGUCCUCUUCGAGGUGGGAGAGGUUGGAGGAGGCAGAGGAGCUGGACACAAGGGAGGAGGCACUGUUUCGCCUGGAGCCGUUCAUGGAGCGCAGCGACUUGCUGUCCGUCUCUAGCAGCCUGUAGUGAAGGAAUUCCAGAGAAUCGGCCUGUCUGAUUUACAGAUUGUAGCAGUCAGCGUGGGACUUCCUUGUCCGUGUGACGCUAUUGAACGAAUGCUCGUGCCUUUUAUCUGCUCUGUAGGGUACAAAGGCCUCACCAAACACACAAACACUAGGAGGGGGAUGGUGGGGAUGUGCAGAAUGAUUCUACAGCAGUCCGAGUGGUGCAGAUGUGGGCGUCCUGGUGGCCCAGUGAUUAUGACACAUAUGAGAUAAAAGCAGCAUCCCAGGUUUAAUUCCAACCGAGGACCACGUUUGCAUGACAUUCCCCUCUCCCCACAUUUCCUGUCUGCAUCUUCACUGUGAUCCAUCUAUUAUUAAAAAAAAGGUAUAACAAAUAUAUAUAUUUAAAAUUAGAGAAAACAUAGUUUUGCCAAUUAUGAAUACACUGUAGUGCAAAUCUUAACUUAAGAACAUUUUACAUGAUGUAUCAUAAACGCUACUGUUAUUACAUUACACGUUGUACCUCAGGUUGGUAUUGCCUGUGCCAGGUCUAUUCUGAAAUGGAGAUAAACAGGAAGCUGGUACACCAAACUUGUACUGUUUUCUUAACAACACCCUGUUCCUGAGCUUUCACUGUUGGGGGCAUAUUUACUGACCUUCAUCAACAAUAUGACUAUAAAGCUAAACUAACAGAUCCACAUCCUGUAGAUCCUACAGGAUGGCUGAGUUAAAUCAGCCUGGAUGGAUGAUACCAUGACACCUAACCUAAGCUAUAGAAGGCAGCACUCACCCUGUAGAAAAAAAAUGAAAAGCUACGCAGAGUAAGUGCACUAGUGUACAUGUAGAUUUAUUUAAAAAUUAAUUUACCAAAAUUCAAUGAAUCUCUUAAUAAAUUAUUUUCUUGUUCAAUAUAUCAAGAAUUCAAAUGAGCGUUUGGCUGGGCAGAAUCACAGUAUCAGCUGUUAUAGAUCCCUGUAAUAGUAUUGUGGGAUUUUAUUGUAUAUUUUUGCAAUACAAAGAAAUAAGUGGGCCAAAUUUCUCCCUUCAUUACUUCUGAAAAUGUUCAGUUCCAGUUUGACUUGCCAAUACCAUGUGGAUCACUGUCUUGCAUAGGGAUGCAACUUACAAUUAUUUUCAUUGUCGAUUAAUCUGUUGAUUAUUUUCUUGAUUAAUCGAUUGGUUGUUUAUAAAAAUGUCAUAAAAUGAUGAAAGAUAUCGAUCAGUGUUUCCCAACGCCAGAGAUGAUGUCCUCAAAUGUCUUGUUUUGUUCACAACACAAAGAUAUUCAGUUUACUGUCAUAGAGGAGUAAAGAAACCAGAAAAUAUUCACAUUUAAGAAACUAGAAUCAGAGAAUUCAGAGAAAUCAGAGAAUGAACCGAUUCAUUGAUUGUCAAAAUAGUUGGCGAUUAAUUUAAUAGUUGACGGCUAAUUGAUUAAUUGUUGCAGCUCUAGACAGUGACACUACUAUAAAUUCGACAAUUAAUAGAGUGAUUUAUCCAUAUGAAAAAUGACAUCUGUCUAUAUCACUGUGAUAGUUAUACAGGAAAAUACCAUACAACCCUGUUCUCU